RNAcentral lists this ribosomal RNA (253 nucleotides) under uncultured bacterium. Its description in RNAcentral is "partial 16S ribosomal RNA". It matches the Rfam family "Bacterial small subunit ribosomal RNA", at positions 524 to 776 of the family's 1533-position model. The record is from RNAcentral.
UACGGAGGGGGCUAGCGUUGUUCGGAAUUACUGGGCGUAAAGCGUACGUAGGCGGCUUUGUAGGUUAGAGGUGAAAGCCCAGAGCUCAACUCUGGAAUUGCCUUUAAGACUGCAUCGCUUGAAUCGUGGAGAGGUUAGUGGAAUUCCGAGUGUAGAGGUGAAAUUCGUAGAUAUUCGGAAGAACACCAGUGGCGAAGGCGACUAACUGGACAAGUAUUGACGCUGAGGUACGAAAGCGUGGGGAGCAAACAGG